RNAcentral lists this ribosomal RNA (320 nucleotides) under uncultured eukaryote. RNAcentral's name for it is "partial 18S ribosomal RNA". It matches the Rfam family "Eukaryotic small subunit ribosomal RNA", at positions 1470 to 1796 of the family's 1831-position model. The record is from RNAcentral.
CCCUUGGAUGUUCUGGGCUGCACGCGUGCUACAAUGGCGCUUGCAACAAGUCUUGCCAACCCGAUAGGGUGAGCGGAUCUUUGAAGAGGCGUCGUGAUCGGGACAGUUGAUUGCAAUUAUUCGACUCGAACGAGGAAUUCCUUGUAAUCGCGAUUCAUCAUAUCGCGCUGAAUACGUCCCUGCCCUUUGUACACACCGCCCGUCGCUCCUACCGAUUGAGCGAUCCGGUGAAUGUUUUGGACUGGCGUCAGAAGCGGUUCGCUCCUGACACUACGAAAUUUUGUAAACCUUAUCGCUUAGAGGAAGGAAAAGUCGUAACA